This 1163-nucleotide long non-coding RNA is filed under the name Marmota monax (woodchuck). The record is from RNAcentral. Lineage: Eukaryota; Metazoa; Chordata; Mammalia; Rodentia; Sciuridae.
AACUCCAUGUUUUUCCUAAUUAAUGUGUAUUUCAGAGAUCACCCCUUGUUGAAGCUGAAGAACAUCAUUGUCACACCUCACAUUGGAAGUGCAACUCACCAAGCCAAAUGGCAAAUCAUGCAAGAUCUGGUUGAAAGCAUCCUGGCAGCUCUCCAUGGCCUUCCUGUUCCUAACGAAGUGUUGCUUAAGUGACUUGUGAGGACUGAGAAAUAUAGUAGACUAAAUGGGGAAAGCUGUAUUUCUGGGGACUUCACAUGUCACACCCAUCUUGUAGACUGGCUUAAAGUUGCUUAAGAGUAAUAGGUAAUGUUUAUUGAAGGCGGCUUGCUGCAUGCUUUGCUUCCAUUCUCUCACUUCCUUCUGAGGGAAAUUGCAUCCAGUUAUCUAGUCUCAGAUGAAUUUAAAGGAAAAUCCUAGGCUUAGUUUUGAUUUGAAUUUAGAUUGUGUAAUGCCAGAUUCGUGGGACCCCAAUAGAUCUCCAGGAGCCGAAUCCGAUGCAAUCACACGAGAAUCUUUAUUGCAAGCUCGAGCCUGGACUCGCAACCGUUCCUGAGACAGUGGUCCCAGAGAGUGAGCCCUGAUCCUUUGUUCAGUGAGAUUUUAUAGGUUUUGGGGGGAUACUCUCUGUGUCACAACAUCACACAGCAAAUCAUUCCAUACCAUGGGAAAAUCAAACAACAACUCUAAUCAAUAUUAGCACAUUCACUGGCAGGAACAAGUUGGGUAGGGGUGAUUGGUUAGUACAAGAGGGGUAUUCCUUUGAACUGAUUGGUUUAGGCCACGAGGGGCGUACGUGCCAAACUACCUGGUUUCCCAACAUGUUAUCAACUACCAUAAACUACUGGGGGGUCAUCUGGCACCCAGAUAUUUUCCCUGUCUCAUGCUGAUUGGUGGUUGCUAGGGGGUUGCUAUAGGUCCUCACCUAGCCUAACUGAGUCAGGGACAUCUGGCACCGCAGACCUCUCCUGUUAUUUGCAGACAAACAACUCAGCAGGGUGGGUAUGUGCUUAGGAGUGCUCUGUGGGUUUUUCCAAGGAUAAGGGUCAUGCCCCCUUCCUUAGGACAGCCUUGAGGUAGAAGCUGCUGUUAUUUAUUUUCAAAAAUGGAGUCACAUCAGUUUCUCAAUUAAAACCCUGGACUAGAUCUGCAAAUCUCGUGAGCUA